AGAGUUUGAUCAUGGCUCAGGAUGAACGCUGGCGGCGCAUUUAAGACAUGCAAGUCGAACGAAAAUUUAUGCUUAAAGAGUUGAUUAGUUUACUAAGAGACAAUUUAUUAUAAAUUUUAGUGGCGGACUGGUGAGUAAUACAUAGGUAAUCUGCCUUUUAGAGGGGAAUAACUAGAAGAAAUUCUAGCUAAUACCGCGUAAGACCACACUUGGGCAUCCAAGAGAGGUCAAAGGAGAAAUCCGCUAAAAGAUGAGCCUGUGGCUGAUUAGUUAGUUGGUGGGGUAAGAGCCUACCAAGACGAUGAUCAGUAGCCGAGCUGAGAGGCUGGCCGGCCACAUUGGGACUGAGAUACGGCCCAGACUCCUACGGGAGGCAGCAGUUGGGAAUAUUGGACAAUGGAGGAAACUCUGAUCCAGUGACGCCGCGUGAAGGAAGAAGGUCUUCGGAUUGUAAACUUAUUUUAUCAGGGAAGAAGAAAGUGACAGUACCUGAAGAAAAAGGACCGGCAAACUACGUGCCAGCAGCCGCGGUAAUACGUAGGGUCCAAGCGUUAUCCGGAUUUACUGGGUGUAAAGGGCGAGUAGACGGCGCUGUAAGUCAGUUGUGAAAACUUAGGGCUCAACCUUAAGCCUGCAGCUGAAACUGUGGUGCUAGAGUGCAGGAGAGGUAAGCGGAAUUCCUAGUGUAGCGGUGAAAUGCGUAGAUAUUAGGAGGAACACCAGUGGCGAAGGCGGCUUACUGGACUGUAACUGACGUUGAGGCGCGAAAGUGUGGGGAGCAAACAGGAUUAGAUACCCUGGUAGUCCACACCGUAAACGAUGGAUACUAGGUGUAGGUGAGAUAUCGUCUGUGCCGGCGCAAACGCAAUAAGUAUCCCACCUGGGGAGUACGGCCGCAAGGUUGAAACUCAAAGGAAUUGACGGGGGCCCGCACAAGCAGUGGAGUAUGUGGUUUAAUUCGACGCAACGCGAAGAACCUUACCAAGACUUGACAUAUACAGGAAAGGCUAAGAGAUUAGUCCCCUCUUCGGAGCCUGUAUACAGGUGAUGCAUGGUUGUCGUCAGCUCGUGUCGUGAGAUGUUAGGUUAAGUCCUGCAACGAGCGCAACCCUCGUGAUUAGUUGCCAGAGAAUGGAACUCUAAUCAGACUGCCGUAGUUAAUACGGAGGAAGGUGAGGAUGAUGUCAAAUCAUCACGUCCCUUAUGUCUUGGGCUACACACGUACUACAAUGGGUGUUACAGAAAGAAGCGAAACCGCGAGGUGGAGCAAAACUCAGAAAAGCACCCCUAGUUCGGAUUGGAGGCUGCAACCCGCCUCCAUGAAGCUGGAAUUGCUAGUAAUCACAGGUCAGCAUACUGUGGUGAAUACGUUCCCGGGCCUUGUACACACCGCCCGUCACACCAUGAGAGUUGAGAAUACCCGAAGCCCAUGUAACAGUGGUCGAAGGUAGGCUUGAUGAUUGGGGUGAAGUCGUAACAAGGUAGCCGUAUCGGAAGGUGCGGCUGGAUCACCUCCUU
RNAcentral lists this ribosomal RNA (1518 nucleotides) under uncultured bacterium. RNAcentral describes it as "bacterial SSU rRNA". It matches the Rfam family "Bacterial small subunit ribosomal RNA". The record is from RNAcentral.